Molecule: long non-coding RNA, 903 nt
Organism: Fundulus heteroclitus (mummichog)
Lineage: Eukaryota; Metazoa; Chordata; Actinopteri; Cyprinodontiformes; Fundulidae
Exons: 2
Source: RefSeq, a predicted model, not a curated record
AGGUCUGCUCAUUGGGUCGGGCUGUGCUCUCUAUCCCCUGGGAUGGGACAGUGAAGAAGUCCAGCAGACCUGCAGCAACAGCUCAGACCAGUUUAAACUGGGUUCCUGUCAGAUCGGCUGGGCGUACUACUGCACGGGGGCCGGCGCGGCCACCGCCAUGCUCCUCUGCACCUGGCUCUCCUGCUUUGCCGGGAAGAAGCAGAAGCAUUACCCGUAUUGACCAGCGAAUCGGAGACAAAAGGGACAGGCUGAGACCUCGGGCGGUACGACUAAAAGGGAGGGCCCUCCAACUGCGUGGACUCAGACUAGUACAGCACACCAGGCGCCAAAGACGGCAAGCCGUUUCGGUGCUCUGCACAAUCCUCGGGACGCGUCUCAUCUGACGACUGCAGAGACUGUUUCAUAAUGCAGCACACACACACGGCUCUGAAAAGUUCUCGUAAAAAGAUGUUCCUAAAUGAAAGAUGUAUGGACCAAGAUUAUUAGUAAAGUUGUUACAUUCUGUUUUUCUUUUAUUUCUUUGAUCGAUAUCUCCCACGGGCAUCAAUGUUCAUGUGAUUGUGUGGCCUGUAAAGAGCAGAAAAUAUAUUCCCCUAUUAUUCCCAGAGUGUUCCCAUGUCCUAUGUGUCUCCCAUUCUUGCCUUAAACAACCUGAAAUGCAAUAAUACCUGUGAUAAUGUAAAGCAGUCCAGAAAACUGGCCGCCCGCCUCCUCGGCUCAGCCUUUUUUUUUUUUUUUUUCAGAUUUCACAGAUUUAAGCAGAGUUUAUUUAACACGUUCAUAAGAUAUACAAUGUGUACGGUAUUGUAUUUUAUCACGUUAUCACGUGUUUUGUAUUCACUCUCAGAUUAUUCUUGGUCAUGCUUUUUUUGUUUUUGUAAAUACAUGUUUAAUUAAAUCCUG